CAGCCCACCUCUCCCUGAAAGUAAAUGGAAAAACACAAUCCCGUUUUAUUGGCUAGAGAGGAGACAAAUGCGCAACUUGGAUGAAUGCACUUAUCAUGGUCGCCAAUCUCCAACGCGUAAAAGGAACUAUUUUCUCAAUCUCGUUGUGUUUUAUUGCCACUGUAGUGGUCGCGCAGUAUGACACCUACAACUUUAGACAUUUCCCACAAGAGGAGCUCAUGCCAAUCGAGUCUGCGUAUGCACAAGGCUUGGACAAUUAUGCCUCAGAAAAUUGGACGGACUGUAUCAAAUUCAUUGAAUUAAGUUUACGCCUGCAUCGGCUUCUGAAAGACAGCGUGACAUACUGCAUACAAAACUGUAAUGCCAGUCAUGUACAGUUACAGGAGCCUGUCAUGGCCAGCAGCACCGGGGAUAUGCAGAUCUUCUGGCGCAUUUUAAUGCGAGCAUCAUGCCUGAAAAAGUGCAGGACGCACUUCCCUGCGCUCUCGCUCCCUUACCCUAGAAAAGAGAUUAUGGAUGAUUUCGAUAAUAGGUCGCCCUACCGUUACAUGUACUUUGCUCAUGUCCAGAUGGAUGACCCCCAGAAGGCGUUGGCGUCAGCCCACACCUAUCUACAGAGAAACCCAGAGGACCCGGUCAUGACACAGCACAUGAACCAAUACAAAAGAGAGUUUGACUUGGAGGGCUAUCUCAUUGACCACGAGGAAUGCCCCUAUGAGGUCAGCUUCCUGAAAGCAGUCACCUUGUUCAACUCUGAGGACUUCAGCAGCAGUAUCAGUCACAUGGAGCAGGCCCUCAGCCAGUACCUCCAGCAGUACAGCCUGUGUCAGGCCAUGUGCCAGGGGGCCUGCGACGCCGACCUCCCCCAAACUAAAGACCUGUACCCCACACUGGCAGAUGCCUAUGUUGAUGCACUGAGAUGCGAGGUGAAGUGUGAGGAAAACCUAAUGCCAAAUGUUGGUGGCUACUUUGUGGAGAAAUUCAUCGCCACUAUGUAUCACUACCUGCAAUUUGCUUAUUAUAAGUUAAAUGAUGCCCGCAGUGCGGCCCCCUGUGCGUCCAGCUACGUGCUCUUUGACCCUGAGGACAAGGUCAUGAGGCAGAAUAUGUUAUACUACCAGUCUUACAGAGAGCAGUGGGGCCUGGAUGACCACAGCUUCACACCCAGAGUGGUGAGAGAAUGGCUCUAUUCAUCUUUUCAACAUUCCUCACAUCGCCUCUUUCUUUAAACCCAUUGGAAAAGGAAGUCGGAAGGGAGCGACAAAGGACCUACUCCAAUAUGGCUGAAAAGGAGGCGAGGAGAUAGAUUACGAGGAAUCACUGGAAAGACCAAUUGAAAUAGACAGCCAAUGCAUCCUUCCUGUUAGACUUCAUUGAGGAAGCAUUGAGGUACUACAACCAUACCACCUUGCUGAAACAGAUGCUGGCAUUUGCAGAGAACUACUUGCAGUCUGAUGAGGACUUUUUGGGUCCAGAAGAAGCUGCCACGGAGGAGGACUCUGAUGUUGAGUUUGAAGGGCUUGGAGACUAUCAGGAAUCCAUCCUGGCUAGAUGGUCACAACCCAAAGCUAAAGGGGACACUGGUGACUCCUAGGGGUUUGUUCUUGACUCAUGAUGAAUAAAACAGAAAGACAA
This is a non-coding RNA of Salmo salar (Atlantic salmon), 1635 nucleotides long. Lineage: Eukaryota; Metazoa; Chordata; Actinopteri; Salmoniformes; Salmonidae. The record is from RefSeq and is a predicted model, not a curated record.